Molecule: non-coding RNA, 2051 nt
Organism: Chrysemys picta bellii (western painted turtle)
Lineage: Eukaryota; Metazoa; Chordata; Testudines; Emydidae
Source: RefSeq, a predicted model, not a curated record
UCAAUCUCCUGGAUCUGUACCUCAAUAUCUCGAAUCAGCAGUUUCAUUUAAGGAGCUCCCAGUAACCUGGGAUACGACAUAUAACUGUAACAGAAUACCAUUCAGUUAGUUCUACAUGACUUCACUUUUAAAUGUAGUUUUGUCUGCUGGCACAAUCAGCAAAAGUAGAAGGUAUCUUGCCCAAGACAGAUGCUUGAACCUAAAGAAGAUCUUUCCAAUAUGACAGGGUUUAUGUUUAUCUGCAUAAAAUAAUCACCUAUGCAAAUGAAAAAUGAAGAUAGUGGUGCGAUAGCAGCAAAUUGGGAUCUACAUUAACUUCCAGAGCUUCUGUGCUUUGAAGCUAAAGGAGGAAUAUCCUAGGUGUAAUGGAUAUGGUGCUCCAGGUGCCUACUUCAGAGAAGAAAAAAUUACAGGUCACAGCAGUGCAUCUGCUGGCUGUCUGCUACCAUCAGUUCUGGAGGUGCUAGCAAUGGCAUUGUAAGGGUCUGUCAGAAACCUUAUCUGCAUGUCCGCUCCCAGGAGUGAGAAGCUGGAAUGAGCUCCUGAAGGACAAUUACACAAAUGACCCUUCUACCAGAUGAUGAUGACCCUGGUGCAAAUCACCUAAAUGAAACUGCAACAGUAAAAUAACACUAAAAUUAAACUCAGAAAAUGAGUUCCAAACCAAAAACAGAGUGGACAGGAGCUGAACAGCCCAGUACAGAAACAGAAAGUGGCUGCAACGAACCUCUUAACAGGCCAAGUUAUGUAUAAGGAUGUGCACUAUUUUCCUGCAAUGAACAACCCAGUCGUUUGCUUGGUUUAUUGUGGGCAACAGUUGAAUUGCAGACAACAGCUAGGUUAUUCUUUGAUAUAUAUAUAUAUAUAUAUAUAUGGGUGAAAGACAAAACAUGGUUCAUAAAUGCACCUGUGGGUCUAUGGAAACACGGCAGGAGUGCUUUAAUAAAUAUUUUAUACUAUUUAUUGAGAUGAUUGGUUUAAAAAAUGCUUUUGAGGACAACUAAUUUGAUAGCCAAAUAUUCGUUGGGUAUAUUUGUGAAGAGAAUUUGCCUUGUUCAAUUCCUGGAAGUACCUUUUUCCACAGUUAUCACAUGAGAGAGAGAAAGAUCUAUAAACACAUUGGGCAGAGCUUGAAGUUAAAAUCAAAAAACUACCAAAAAACCCUCCAACCAAAUAUUUUCCCCAGUGGGUUGGCCAAUACUUAUAUAUUCUGAUGCACUGUAAAUUUCAUGAAUAGAUGUUCAUGACAAAUGAAUUCACAUGUGACGUUAAAAGAUCAUGUAGUUAAUGCUUUUUUAACUUGUAUAUUAUAGUUUGUGCCCAGAGGCACAACACAGAUUAACAGUCACAGCUCCCGAAAGCCUAUAGUCUAAAAGUUUGCCUUGUUUUAUAAGAGAAGUUUAGUUUAUACACAUCCUUUUCCCUCAAAACUGAAAAUUAAAUCCAUUUUGGCUAUAAGAUCAUGCCCACAAUAAAAUGAGGUUUUCACUUUUCAUGUUCUGUAUUCUUUUCUCUCUUCAAAAGCUCUUCUAUUCUGUUGCUAAGAGAAAAAAUACUGUUGCCAAGUAACAAGAAACAGUGACCAGCACUACUAAUGUGUCCUCUAUCGCAUAUCAAAAGCAACCUCCCUAACUGUUCUCAAGGACACCAAGAGUGUGAGUUCUCUCAUACAGGAGGGAGGAAGAAGAGAGUUGACGUAUCUGAUUUAGUAAUGCUCAGUGGCAUUCCUAAGUACCUUAGCACCCAUCUAGUAAUCAUGAUUCCAGUCAUAUUGUGCAUGGCUAGUUUUGUUGCUUAAUGGCCACUCAGGACAAAACAUAACGUAAUAAGCAAAUAUUUCUUUACUUGAUAGUAUUGGAGUUAAGUAUUUUAUGUACUUUUCCCUUAUGCAUAAGACAUGCCAAGAAAAACUUCAAAAUCUACCAAUGUGAUAGAUGCCAUCAUGUGCCAGCAAUGCCCCUCUGCUGUGUACAUUGGCCAAACUGGACAGUCACUACGCAAAAGAGUAAAUGGACACAAAACUGACAUCAGGAAUCAUGGCAUUCAAAAAC